GCAGUCGAACGAUGAAGCCCACUUGUGGGUGGAUUAGUGGCGAACGGGUGAGUAACACGUGAGUAACCUGCCCUUGACUCUGGGAUAAGCCUGGGAAACUGGGUCUAAUACCGGAUACGACCGACUAUCGCAUGGUGGUUGGUGGAAAGCUUUAUUGUGGUUUUGGAUGGACUCGCGGCCUAUCAGCUUGUUGGUGGGGUAAUGGCCUACCAAGGCGACGACGGGUAGCCGGCCUGAGAGGGUGACCGGCCACACUGGGACUGAGACACGGCCCAGACUCCUACGGGAGGCAGCAGUGGGGAAUAUUGCACAAUGGGCGCAAGCCUGAUGCAGCGACGCCGCGUGAGGGAUGACGGCCUUCGGGUUGUAAACCUCUUUCAGUAGGGAAGAAGCGAAAGUGACGGUACCUGCAGAAGAAGCGCCGGCUAACUACGUGCCAGCAGCCGCGGUAAUACGUAGGGCGCAAGCGUUAUCCGGAAUUAUUGGGCGUAAAGAGCUCGUAGGCGGUUUGUCGCGUCUGCCGUGAAAGUCCGGGGCUCAACUCCGGAUCUGCGGUGGGUACGGGCAGACUAGAGUGAUGUAGGGGAGACUGGAAUUCCUGGUGUAGCGGUGAAAUG
RNAcentral lists this ribosomal RNA (617 nucleotides) under bacterium 30-L049393-122-001-F04. Its description in RNAcentral is "bacterial SSU rRNA". It matches the Rfam family "Bacterial small subunit ribosomal RNA", at positions 57 to 688 of the family's 1533-position model. The record is from RNAcentral.